Long non-coding RNA from Triticum urartu, 1298 nucleotides. RefSeq lists it as uncharacterized. The record is from RefSeq and is a predicted model, not a curated record. Lineage: Eukaryota; Viridiplantae; Streptophyta; Magnoliopsida; Poales; Poaceae.
UAUGCUAAACGCACGCGCGCGGCACACCCUCCUCCCAAGAAACCCUAGGUCAGGCGCUGCCACCUCCCUCUUCCCGAUCCAGAUUCCUCCUCCUUCGCCCCUCCCUUCCACCACCUGCAGUCGCCCCUGCAGCAGAUCAAGCGAGCCGCCCAACCUCACCGUUGAUAGAUGCACCGCCGCCUAGCAGCCACGGCUGGAUGGCUCGCCGGUGUGCGCGUGCUUCAAUGCGCGCCGCCGCCGCUCCACCGGCCUCCUAUGUCUCUUCCAGUCAGAUCCGACGGGCACAUCUUCCUACAGCCAUGAGCGACCACCCAACUCCACUCUCGAUCCCCAAAGCCAAAGGCAGAGACAGCCGCCACCGGCCUAUCAAGUUGAUCUCUCAGGCAGAGACAAGUCGAGGCCCUCUCUGUCUCUCCCCCGUGGCUCCUCCUCGUCGCCGCCACCCAACGCCGGCCGAUUCCGGCAACUCCCGCCACCGCGCAGCACGCGCCCGAGCUUGCCUCGCUCCGCCGCGUCCCCCCUCCGGCCAGAUGCGCCGCUCACGGCCCACCCGCAACCCCCCCCCCCCCCCCCCCCUCCCCGUGGCCAGGGCUAGGGUUUCUGUAGCGGCGUCGCCUCCGUUGCCCGCCGGCGCCUACAGCACUCCGGCGCGCGUCCUCUGGCGGAUUCCUCCUCUCCUAUCCUCCGGUGACGGUAACUUAAAAUCGGACCCCAACCACUCUACUCUGCUACUAGCACACAUGGUUGCAACUCUGCUGGUUCUAACUGCUGUUUGCUCUUCCGGGAUUAUUGUUUUCUUCUCCUAGUUUAAUUAGAUAUAUCAUGUACUAGUUGGGUUUAUGUUAACAAAUGCUUGCUGCUUCGCUUGCCUGACUUGUCGAUGGUGCUCUCGCUUGGAGCAGUAUGCCCGCCGCUCCAGCACCUUCUUCUGCUUUGACAAGUCGGUCACCCCUGUCGUCAUCAAGGUCCAUCCUCGAGUGCAUCAGUUCACUGGACCUAAAACUUUCUUUUACUAAUUCCUUGAGAAUAAUCAGUUAGCAAGUAGGGGUGUUAUCCUUUGGUAAAGGGGGUGCUUGUGAAUAGUGUUGGAGUUGUGUCUUGAGGAUCUGAAAUACAACUUGUAGUUUCAGACACGAGGCAUUAUAUAGGGACACUCCAACACAUGUUUAAACAGAUAGAGGUGUUUUGCUAGGCAUGGUCGUAUGAUGUCUCGUAUCUUCUGUAUGAUGAGGCAUUAUAUAGGGACGCUCCAGCAAUUGUUUUAUCCAAAGGCAGAGAUAGAUCCGAUGGACAUCACA